UACGUAGGCAGCGAGCGUUGUUCGGAGUUACUGGGCGUAAAGGGUGUGUAGGCGGUUGUUUAAGUUUGGUGUGAAAUCUCCCGGCUCAACUGGGAGGGUGCGCCGAAUACUGAAUGACUUGGAGUGCGGGAGAGGAGAGUGGAAUUCCAGGUGUAGCGGUGAAAUGCGUAGAUAUCUGGAGGAACACCGGUGGCGAAGGCGGCGUUCUGGACUGUAACUGACACUGAUGAACGAAAGCCAGGGGAGCAAACGGG
This 254-nucleotide ribosomal RNA is filed under the name uncultured bacterium. RNAcentral describes it as "partial 16S ribosomal RNA". It matches the Rfam family "Bacterial small subunit ribosomal RNA", at positions 524 to 776 of the family's 1533-position model. The record is from RNAcentral.